GACGAACGCUGGCGGCGUGCCUAACACAUGCAAGUCGAGCGAAUGAAGUUGCAGCGGGAAUGGAUGUAGCGGCGGACGGGUGAGUAACACGUAGGCAAAUUGCCUCCUAGAGGGGAAUAGCCUACCGAAAGGGAGAUUAAUACCGCAUAAAUAUGUAGUACCGCAUGAUAGAGCAAUUAAAGGAGCAAGCCGUGCUGAGAUGGGUCGGCGGGGCAUUAGCUCGUUGGCAAGGUAAUGGCUCACCAAGGCGACGAUGCGUAGCCGACCAGAGAGGCUGAUCGGCCACAUCUGGGCUGGGCCACAGCCCGGACUCCUACGGGAGGCAGCAAUGGCUAAUAUUGCACCAUGGCGGAAGCCCUGAUGCUCCAACGACGCGUAAGUUAUGUCGUCCUUCAGGUAGUAAAGCUCUGUCUUCAGGGACCAUAAUGACGGUACCUGAUGAGGAAGCCACGGCUAACUACGUG
Molecule: ribosomal RNA, 464 nt
Filed under: uncultured bacterium
Lineage: Bacteria
Description: partial 16S ribosomal RNA
Rfam family: Bacterial small subunit ribosomal RNA
Source: RNAcentral